UUUUUUUGUUUUUUUGGUUUUUUUUAGGACAUCAUAAAGAAUUGGGUAAGAAAAUUUAUUCUGAGAUUUGGAAAAUCAAGCCCUAUCACAGUUUAAACAUAAUAGUCACAAUCUAAAUAUAUUUUAAAAUUCAUAUAUUCCAGUUUAGGGCUUUGUUUUCAAUCUUUUUUUUCUUAAUUUUUGAUUUAAAACAACCUGCAUAAAGUUAAUGGAACUCCUUAUUCUGUGCCUUAAAUAAGAUGGGAGUUCACUGAGAAAAGAAAUGAAAGUUCUUAGCCGGCAGCUCCGUUGAAUACCAUGGAAGUCGCAUGGAUUCCAACACGCAAGGUCCUUCCCUUGGCUUUCAGGUGUAUUUCUCCUCUGAGGAUACAUUAGAACAAAAGUCAUAGGAAAGGAAAAUUAAAUUUUUCUGCAGAUUGAGCUAAGCCAAAAAGAUGUGUGACAUGCUCUUGUACAUUUUUCCCUUCUCUAAAGUAACUUGUAAAGAACAACAUUUCGUCAGAUCGCCUAUAUAUAUAUUACAGCAUUCCAUGAUGUUGUCUUGUCCUUCUUUAUAAGUUUAUAGGAAUUCUUGAAAGUGGAAUGCAUGAUGUCCAUCAGUGACUUCAGGGUUCGUGGAGCAAACGCUAUGGUAGCACCGGGAAGAACAGUGGGCGAGAGGUGGCCUCAACGUUCGGGAACGUUGCUUCUGACCUCACUUCGUCCGGUAGCACAUCUGGUGUGUCACAGCGGAGUCCAGCAAAGCUAACCCACAACAGAGGGAAAACUACACACAAUUGCUUGGAAUAAAUUGGAAAUGUAAGAACAAACAAAAAAACUGCAGUUCCUUCUCUGUAUAAUAGUGUAAGCCAACGAGGGAUUGUAAACUCAGGGAACCACUCCCAGUGCACACACAUUCAGACGCACACAGGCUCACAUACACACUCAAACACACACACAUUCAAGCACACACACUCAAACACACAGGCUCAGACACACACACUUAAACACACACACACUCUCACAUGCUCAAACACACACAAACACAGGCUCAGACACAUACCUGCUCAAACACACACACUCAAACACACACCUGCUCAAACACACAGGCUCAGACACACACACACACCUGCUCAAACACACACACACACGCAAACACGCACACUUAAACACACACACACUCACACAUGCUCAAACACACACAAACAUAGGCUCAGACACACACCUGCUCAAACACACACACAAACACACACACUGAAACACAAUCUGCUCAAACACACACACACUCAAACACACAGGCUCAAACUCACACAUGAUCAAGCCCACAGGUUCAAACACACACCUACUCAAACAUACAUGCAUGCAAACAUACAGGCUCAAACGCACACGCUCAAACACACACAGUAAAACACACAGACACACACACAUACACACUCAAACACACAGUAAAAUACACACACAUACUCAAACACACACAUAAAACACAUAGGCUCACACACAAACUCAAACACAC
RNAcentral lists this long non-coding RNA (1492 nucleotides) under Macaca mulatta (Rhesus monkey). RNAcentral describes it as "lncRNA (ENSMMUG00000057745.1)". Lineage: Eukaryota; Metazoa; Chordata; Mammalia; Primates; Cercopithecidae. The record is from RNAcentral.